CGAUUGAAUGAAUAAAACUGGUAUUGUCACAGUUUCAACUGUAAACAAUGUUCAGCAGUUUACAUAGACGAAAGCAAACGCGCAUUAAAAAUCAGAUUGAAUGAACACAAAAUAAAAUUUAGCUCAGAAACAGUGGUCUCUGCACAUAGAAGAACUCUCUCACAUGAAUUUGACUAGGACAAAGCUAAGAUAUUAGAUUAUGAAAAUAAUUUCAAGAAACGCAGAAUAUCCGAAAUGUUACUUAUUAACUUACAUGAAAACAGUUUAAAUAGAAAAGAGGAUAUAAAAUAUCUUAGUCAUAUCUAUAAUCCUUUAUUAAGAUUGAUGAAGAGGAGAUGACAAAUGAAUAUUGUGUUAUAUAUAUAUCGCAGUAAUACUUGAUUUCUUACUUUUAUUUUGAAUUUUGACUGGCUACAAGAUACUCGUUUUAGCCUACCAGAAUUGACUACGGGAGAUAUCAGCCUGAAGUGGUCGGCAAAUUUGCUGACGAAACGUUGCUGAAUAAAAUUAAAAUUCAAAUUUUCACAAGCGAUUAAUGCCAGGAUCCAUUUGCUUAUUCUCUAUGAUCUAAACGUUUACCGAAUUAAGGGAAAGGUAUCGUUCUACUAAUUAAAGGAAAAUUCAUGGUCGAAACAUUAAUCAAUUACAUCUCAUACGCGUGUAUCAUUAUUUGUUCUUGCCAUAACACUACUAAACUAAUUAUAUAAGUGUACUACCAUGGACAUUUACAAAAUUAUAAAUAUUGAAAAGAGAUAUGAUAACAAAUAUGAGAUGCUAUAACCUUCACUACGUUACACAUGCGCAAUGUACACAUACUCGCAAAAAUGAAUUGAACUGAUUGUCAAUAGUUAAUA
This is a long non-coding RNA of Phymastichus coffea, 854 nucleotides long. RefSeq lists it as uncharacterized. Lineage: Eukaryota; Metazoa; Arthropoda; Insecta; Hymenoptera; Eulophidae. The record is from RefSeq and is a predicted model, not a curated record. The transcript has 3 exons.